CCUACGGGGGGCAGCAGUGAGGAAUAUUGGUCAAUGGACGAGAGUCUGAACCAGCCAAGUAGCGUGAAGGAUGACUGCCCUAUGGGUUGUAAACUUCUUUUAUAUGGGAAUAAAACGUUCCACGUGUGGGAUUUUGUAUGUACCAUAUGAAUAAGGAUCGGCUAACUCCGUGCCAGCAGCCGCGGUAAUACGGAGGAUCCGAGCGUUAUCCGGAUUUAUUGGGUUUAACGGGAGCGUAGGUGGUUUGUUAAGUCAGUUGUGAAAGUUUGCGGCUCAACCGUAAAAUUGCAGUUGAAACUGGCAGUCUUGAGUACAGUAGAGGUGGGCGGAAUUCGUGGUGUAGCGGUGAAAUGCUUAGAUAUCACGAAGAACUCCGAUUGCGAAGGCAGUUCACUGGACUGCAACUGACACUGAGGCUCGAAAGUGUGGGUAUCAAACAGGAUUAGAUACCCGAGUAGUC
This 460-nucleotide ribosomal RNA is filed under the name uncultured bacterium. RNAcentral describes it as "partial 16S ribosomal RNA". It matches the Rfam family "Bacterial small subunit ribosomal RNA", at positions 338 to 795 of the family's 1533-position model. The record is from RNAcentral.